This 467-nucleotide ribosomal RNA is filed under the name uncultured bacterium. RNAcentral describes it as "partial 16S ribosomal RNA". It matches the Rfam family "Bacterial small subunit ribosomal RNA", at positions 29 to 507 of the family's 1533-position model. The record is from RNAcentral.
ACGCACGCUGGCGGCGUGCUUAACACAUGCCCGUCGCACGGUGAAGCUCCAGCUUGCUGGAGUGGAUCAGUGGCGAACGGGUGAGUAACACGUGAGCAACCUGCCCCUGACUCUGGAAUAAGCGCUGGAAACGGCGUCUAAUACUGGAUACGAGAAGGGUCCGCAUGGGCACUUUCUGGAAAGUUUUUCGGUUGGGGAUGGGCUCGCGGCCUAUCAGCUUGUUGGUGAGGUAAUGGCUCACCAAGGCGACGACGGGUAGCCGGCCUGAGAGGGCGACCGGCCACACUGGGACUGAGACACGGCCCAGACUCCUACGGGAGGCAGCAGUGGGGAAUAUUGCACAAUGGGCGAAAGCCUGAUGCAGCGACGCCGCGUGAGGGAUGACGGCCUUCGGGUUGUAAACCUCUUUCAGCAGGGAAGAAGCGAAAGUGACGGUACCUGCAGAAGAAGCACCGGCUAACUACGUG